RNAcentral lists this ribosomal RNA (349 nucleotides) under uncultured Lachnospiraceae bacterium. Its description in RNAcentral is "partial 16S ribosomal RNA". The record is from RNAcentral. Lineage: Bacteria; Bacillati; Bacillota; Clostridia; Lachnospirales; Lachnospiraceae.
GGAGUUUGGGCCGUGUCUCAGUCCCAAUGUGGCCGAUCACCCUCUCAGGUCGGCUAUGGAUCGCGGUCUUGGUGGGCCCCUUACCCCGCCAACUAACUAAUCCAACGCGGGCCCAUCUUGCACCGAUAAUUCUUUUCCGGAUAAACCAUGCGGUUCUACCGGCUUAUGCGGUAUUAGCAGUCGUUUCCAACUGUUGUCCCCCCUGUGCAAGGCAGGUUACCCACGCGUUACUCACCCGUCCGCCACUAAGUCACCCUCGGGUGUGUCCGCUCGUAGCAAGCUACUCACUUCCACGGAUGAGGGUGCUUCGUUCGACUUGCAUGUGUUAAGCACGCCGCCAGCGUUCAUC